UACGUAGGUGGCAAGCGUUGUCCGGAUUUACUGGGCGCAAAGAGCGCGCAGGCGGUCGUACAAGUCGCGUGUGAAAGCCCCCGGCUCAACUGGGGAGGGUCACGCGAUACUGUUCGACUCGAAGGCAGGAGAGGGAAGUGGAAUUCCCGGUGUAGUGGUGAAAUGCGUAGAUAUCGGGAGGAACACCAGUGGCGAAGGCGACUUCCUGGCCUGUUCUUGACGCUGAGGCGCGAAAGCUAGGGUAGCAAACGGG
RNAcentral lists this ribosomal RNA (253 nucleotides) under uncultured bacterium. RNAcentral describes it as "partial 16S ribosomal RNA". It matches the Rfam family "Bacterial small subunit ribosomal RNA", at positions 524 to 776 of the family's 1533-position model. The record is from RNAcentral.